Long non-coding RNA from Gallus gallus (chicken), 10066 nucleotides. Lineage: Eukaryota; Metazoa; Chordata; Aves; Galliformes; Phasianidae. The record is from Ensembl.
AGAAAAGUGGAGCUCCUGGCAGGACGCCAGCUGUUCUCCCUCUCACUGACUUGCCCUCUCAGUUUGCCGCGGAGAAAAGAACGUGCUUCCCCUACAGUCUACUAGCACUCAUCUGCUAUCUCCCUACCCUUCCCCCUCUCCUGGAGUGCACAGCCUGACUCAUUAGUCACGGGCCAGGGCCGGAUGUGCUGCAAAAGGAGAGCUUACUGUAACUGAAAAGUAUACCUGAGACAUGAAACACAUACAGAUUUUCUCAAAGAAGUUUUACGUCGUCAUGUUCCUCAUUCGUAUGACUUAACAAAAGAGACAGAGAGUCUCUAUGCACUCAAAUCCCUGAACUAUGCACACAAAUUCCUGAACCCCAAUGGGAUGCACCCACGAGUGCUCAGGGAGCUGAAAGAAGUGAUUGCAAAACUGCUCUCAUUUUUAAAGAUCAUGGAGAAUUGGAGGGGUGACUGAAGACUGGAGGAAAACCAAUGUCACUCCAGUCUUCAAAAAAGUGAAGGAGGAAUGAGGAAUCUACAGGCCAGUUAACCUCAACAUUAUCCCCGGGGAGAUGAUAGAACAGCUUAUUUUGAAUGUCAUCUCCAAGCAAGUGGAAGAAAAUAAGCUUACCAGGAGCAGUCAACAUGGAUUCACCAAAGGGAAAUCAUGCUUGACAAAUAUGGUAGCCUUCUAUGAUGUCAUGACUCACUGGGUAGAUGAGGGAAAAGCAGUGGAUAUUCAGCAAGUUUUUUUGUUUUGUUUUGUUUUUGUUUCUGUUUUUCAUAGAAGCAUAGAACAUCUUGAGUUAGAAAGGACCCGUAAGAAUUGUCAAGUCCAAGUCUGGGCUCCUCACAGAACCACCCAGAACUCAGACCAUAUGAUGCAUCUGGAACUCUGUCAGCUUGAGGCUGUGACCACUUCCAUGGGGAGCCUGUUUUUUAUCGGUGUCCUCGUACCAAUUCCUGUGACCUGAUAUCCAUGCCCUAGUAGCAGCAUGGAAUUUCAUAUGAUUAAGUAUAGUUUUAGAGUAAGUUUCAUGAACUUCUGAAAAUUGAUUCUGCUGAGAUUUAGAUAACAACAGUAAGCUUAUCUGGGAGGGGUGCAGUCUUCCUCUUCCAUGCUCUCAUAGUAUCUGGAAUAUGACACUGCUUCCAACAAUAUCCUCAUAGGUAAAUUUAGGAAGUGUGGGAUAGAUGAGUGGACAGUAAAGUGCACUGAGAUCAGUAAAGCUCUGAGUGUUGCAAUCAGUGCCCCAGAGCCUAGAUGGAGGCCUGUAGCUAGCAGUGUUUCCCAGGGGUUGGCACUGGGUCCAGUCUUGCAUAAUAGCUUCAUCAGAUGCCUGUCUGAAGGUAGAGAGUGCACCCUCAGCAAGUUAACUGAUCAUACAAAGCUGGGAGGAAUGGCACCUCCAGACAGGUGGCUGUUCAGUGAGACCUGAACAGCCCAGAGGGUUGGAUAGAGAGGAAGCUUAUGAGGUUCAACAAGAUCAAGUGUAGAGUCUUGCAUCUGGGGAGGAGUCAUUUCAUGAGUCUGUAAAGGUUAGAGGAUGGCCUGCUGGAAAGGAGCUCUGCAGAGAAGGACCUCGAUUCUUGUGGGCAACAGGUUUGCCAUGAGCCAGCAAUGCACCCUUGUGGCCAAGAAGGCCAAUAGUAUCCUGAGGUACAUUAAAGAGAACACGGCCAGCAGGUUGAGGCAUAUUCUCCAUCUGACCUAUUCUCUCCUUGCAAAGCCACAUCUGGAGUUGUGUGACAAGAUGUGGGCUCCUCAGUUCAAUAAAAACAUGGAACUUCUAGAGAGAAUCCAGCUGAGGGCCACAAAGAUGAUUAGGUGCCUGGAGCAUCUCCUUUAUAAGUAAAGGCUGAGAAACCUUUGAUUGUUCUGCCUGGGGGAGAGAAGAGUGAUGAGGGAUCUUAUCAAUGCUUAUAAAUAUCUAAGGGAUGGGUGUCAGAACAGUGUGGUCAGCUGCUUUUUGGUGGUUCCCAGAGACAGAAUAAAGGGCAGUGGGUACAAACUGCAACAGAGGAAGUUCCAAAUGAACUUCUUUACUUUGGAGGCUACAGAGAACUGGAAGAAGCUGCCCAAAGGAGUUGUGGAGUCCUUUUCUCUGGAGAUAUGCAAAACCCCCCUGGACACUUUCUUCUGCAACCUACUGUAGAGAACCUGCUUUAGCCAGGGGAUUGGACUAGACGUUCUCCAGAGGUCCCUUCCAAUCCCUAUGAUUCUCUGGUUCUGUGUUAGAUUCACCUUUAUCAGAUGUGUAUCACCAGUUUGAUGAUCUCUCAAACAAAAUCUGUCAAAUGACAACAUAAUUUACAGUGAUAACAUAUGAAAUACCUUGUGACCUCAAUUGGUUUUCUUUGACUAUAAGUUUAACUAGAAUUCAAAUAAACCACCAGGAAACUCUCGUAUCUUUUUAGAGAUUUACCUAUUGCAAAAAAAAAAAAAUGACCUCCUGCUCAACUGUUCUGAUAUAUGCAUAUUAGAGAGUGUCUUUAAGAUAUUUUGAAGACUAAAAAUAUGUAUAUUUACUGUAGAGUUUUUGUAUAUCUUUUUGUUAUUAUCAAAACAAUAAAAAAAUACACAUUCCCAUUUCCAGGUACAAUUUAGAAUAUAAAGCAAGAAAGAAACUAUGUAUUUGAGGAAAUUAAGUGUUAUACAGUACAGAAUCUGGUACAGAAUUGGCACUCUGCAGAAGUCAAGAAUAAUCUCAAAACAUCACAAAAAAAAAAAGAAAAGAAAAAAGAAAAAUAAUAUUUACAAAGUUUUUUGUUUACAGUUUUGCAGUUUAACUUGCGUGCUAAGAAGUAUCGAAUCUAUAGAAAAAAAACGUUUUUACUCUGACCUCUUUCUACAUUGUUUCUGGCUUGUUUGCUUUGUUUAUUUAAAGCACAUCAUACAGACAGCUGAAAGUAGAUCAGUAAACUGUGAAAUGUCUCUGACAGUAUAGUAGGAAGUUCAUUUGAUGUAAUAAGUUGGAGUUGAAAGGUGGUUUUAUAUUUUUUCCUGAAUAUGAACAACUAUUGCCAGUUGCAACUAUUGAGCAUAUGGCUAACCAUUUUUUAUGAAUUUAAUAUCUUUGAUCUGAGAAUAUAUUUCAUCUACAAGAGAAGAAAUCAGACAUAAACAUUAGCUGCAGAAAAAAAUGUGACAGCUUGGUUUAGGGUGGUAAAUAGAAAUUUAUUCUCACACACACACACACACACACACAAAAGAUAAAUAUAAAGCAAGAUGUGCAUCUCUCAAUAAUUUCUUAAGGAAGAAAACACCAUUCCAGUGAUAAAUGAAGUCUUGCUUGCUUAACUGUUGAAUACUAUCAGUUUGUAAAACAGAGAUAGGUAGUGAAGUCUGUGUACAAGACAUUCCUGAAAGCAUUGUUAUUUUACUCUGAACUAUAAAUGUUAAAGUCUUAAUUAAAGAGCUAUGAAAAAGGUGUGAUAUGCUGAAUUAGUUGAUGAAUUGCUUGUUUGAUUAAAGUAUAAUUAAACAGAUUUGUUUUUAUUUCAUAUUCCAUAAAUGAUAAAUGACUCUCAAACUAGUUCCAUAAUUAAGAUACACAUAUAGUAAGUGAAGAGAUUAAUGUUUAAUUAACUAAGGUCUUAACUAUAAUACUUGAGGCGAUAUUCAUUAAGGAAAAUCUACAGUAGUUAUGCUGGGCUGACAGUUUUUUUUUUUUAUGGAGCUUUUGUAUCAAAGAUAUUGUGUAUGAAGAACUAGGAUAAUUUCUGGAACAGCCACAGGGCUUUUUCUUCAAAGAGGUCAUUCAUAGGUAUAGAUUUUUACUUUUUAUAAAUUAUACAUCUGUGCUGAUGAAAAUUUACUGAUUCUAACACUGGGUACCUUAGAUAGCUCCUUGAUCAAAUUAAUCUUGACCAUGAUUAUAUAACUGAAAUAAGAUAAUAUUGAAUUCACUUUUUUUUUUGAGUAAAGGUGAAGAAAUGAUAAAUUCAGUAAGAAUUUUGAAAUUUGGUUUCAUCGUGGUUCAAAAUGAAACCUAAGCAUCAUUCUCUACAAAAGUAAUUUUUUUUUUUGUUGUACUGUAUGGAAACUGUUGAAUCACAGCUUGAACCACUGAUUGACCACCUGAGGCGAGCACUGAGUCAGCUGCAGGGGCACAGAUGAACACAAUUUCACCUGAGUCACCGGAAGGGUUCCAGGCACCUGUCCAGAAGAGAAGAAGAACUACAUACCCCAGGGGGCUUUGUGGUCAGAGAGGAGAUACAACCUCUGGAAAAGUCAUCUGUUGUCUCUUUCUUCUCUCGGCUCUCAUCCUGACCACACGCGUCGCCUCAGCACUACUAUAAGGCCUAUGGCUUUCAGAUACUCUUUCUCUCAUUAUAUUUGAUUUAUUAGCUUCAAUUCUAAUUACAUUGUAUUAUAGUGUGUUACCUUGCAUUCCAAUACCAUAUUUAGUAAAUUAGUUUGUUUCUCCUCAGAUCAUUGCUGCUGGCUUUUUAAAUUAUUUUGGGGUCCCCUGUUUCCCUUUCCUGGAGGCGUGGAUUUUGUGAAAUCCCUCUGCCCUGCUAGUCAUGGAACUGGGCCGAACCAGCCCAUAAACCGUCAACACAUAGUUACAGAAUAGCCUUAGAAAGCUAAUAUUGAAAUAAUUUCAGUUCCAGGUGCAAUGUCUGACAGAAGCAGUGCAGAUUGAGAGUACAAGGAAAAGAAUAGAUACAGCAAUGUUUUCCUAGACACUUACAUUCUUCCAAAUUUUAUGAUCUGUAAUUCAAAGCCGUCUUGACCCAGAAAUGAUUUUUUUUUUUUUUUUACUAUUUAAUAGGACAUAAAGCAUUUUUCUUGAAAAAAUCUAUCCAAAACAUCUUUAAACACGUGUAAACUUCUAGUGCACAAAAUGUCCUGUGGCAAAUAAUUCAAUGGCUUAACUAUGCUUUGUGUGAAUAAAAUAUUUUUCUUGUUGAUUCUGAAUCUAGCAGCUUUCAUCUUUCACUGCAAAAGAGAGUAAGCAAAAUUUUUCCACUCACACUCCCAUAGAAUCAUAGAAUGGUUUGGGUUGAAAUGGACCUUUAAGAUGAUUUAGUUUUGACAACCCCCCUGCUAUAGGAGGGAGACCUCCCUCUAGACCAGGUUGCUCAAAGACUUGGACUUGUUCCACCAUUACCAUGGGACAGAAACCACUCCUCACACCCUCACCUAGAGCCUCAUGGUCCUGGCAGACAUGGGAAGCCUGACCACCUGUGAAGACUGAGGCAAAGCACUCACUGAGUACCUCAGCUUUUCCUAUGUCUGAGGAAGCCAGCUCCCCAUUACCUUUCAUCAGAGGGGGAACACUCUCCUUGGCUUGUCUCCUCCUUCCUAGGUAUCUGUAAAACCCCUUCUUGUUAUCUUUCACAUCCCUCACCAAGUUCAGCUCCAUCUGUGCCUUGGCUUUCCUCAUCCUAUCUCUACACACAGGGACAACCGCCCUGCAUUCCUCCCAGGAUACACAACCCUGCUUCCACUUCCUGUACAUCUCCCUCUUUUCUCUCAGUUUAAGCUACAGGUCCUUGCACAGCCACAACGGUCGCCUGCCUCCCCUGCUUGACUUCUUCUGCUGGGGGAUGGAGAGCCAUUGCACUCUCAAAAGGGUGUCCUUAAAGAGCUGCCAGCUUUGUUCUGUAUCCAUGCCCUUAAGGAUAGUUUCCCAGGGGAUCCCACUCAGCAGUUUCUCAGGCAGCUGGAUGUUUGCUCUCCUAAAGCACAGGGUCCUAGCUCUGCUUUUUGCCAGGCCCACAUUCUUCCAGAUCACAAACUCCACCAAGGCAUGGUCACUACAGCCCAGGCUGCCUCCAGUCUUAACCUCUCUAAUGCUCUCCUCUGCAUUAGUGAGCACCAGGUCCAGUAAGGCUUCACCUUGGAUAGGUCCAUCUAUUACCUGGACCAGGAAGUUGUCCUCGACAGACUCCAGGAAUCUCCUGGAUUGUCUGCUGCCUGCCAUGUCACCAUCCCAGCAGAUAUCCAGGUAGUUGAAAUCCCCCAUCAGGACAAGAGCCCACGAGUGUGACACCUCCUGCAGCUGAAACAAGAAGGCCUUUUUCACAGCCUCUUCCUGAUCAGGUGGCCUGUAACAGACCCCAACCACCAGAUGCUCUUUACUGGAUGGAUCCUUGAUUUUUACCCACAAGCUCUCAGCCUGACUGUGGCUGUUCCUCAGACACAGCUCUUUGCAAUCGAUCCACUUCCUAACAUAGAGGGCAACUCCACCACCCCUCCUACCCUGUCUAUCCCUUCUGAAAAGCCUGUAGUCCUCAAUCAGGGUAUUCUAAUCAUGCAAUUCAUCCCACUGUGUUUUCAUGAUAGCAAUUAUGUCAUACUUUCCCAAUUGUGCCACGGUUUCUAGCUCCUCCUGUUUAUUUCCCAUGCUGCACACAUUGAUAUAGAGGCACUUCAGCUUAGCUAUUGGUCUCAUUGCCUUCUCAGAGGGGCCCUCCCUAAUACCUUCAGGACAAGCCUGGGGUUUUCCCUUACCACCUCCCAAGGUGACAGUGUUCCAACAUGCUUCUCUGUCUCCUAGUACACCCCCUUCCCCCAUCAUGUCUAGUUUAAAGCCCUGCUAACCAGCUGAGCCAGCUUGUUCCCAAGAAUAUUUGUGGCCCCUCUAGUCAGUUGGCUCUCAUCCACUGUCAGCAUUCCCCCUUUCUCAAGGCUGCGUCCCAAGCCAUAGUACCCAAAGCCCUGAGCAUGACACCAUUUGCAAAGCCAUUCAUUCAGUGUGUCCACCCUCUUCCUUUUGUGCAGAUCCCAGUCACCAACUGAGAGGACAGAGGAGAACACAACUUGUGCUCCCAAUCCCCUUAGAAGUCUUCCCAGAGCCCUGAAGUCCCUUUUGAUUGCCCAAGGACUUCUUUUGCCUACCUCUUCCUUUCCAAUGUGAAAAACCAGUAAUGGAUAAUAAUAAUCAGAGGGCUUAAUGAAGUGAGUGAUGUUCCUAGCACCAUCUCUCACCUGGGCACCAGGCAGGCAACACACCUUCCUGUGGGAUGGAUCCAAGCGGCAUAUUGGGCCCUCGGUUCCCCUCAGAAGGGAGUCCCCUAUGAUGACAUCCCUUCUUUUUUUCCUGACUGACAUAGCAAAACAGCAAGCAGACUGACUAGCAUUGGUCAACCUCUCCUGCACAGAUGGAUUUUCACCAACAUCCACAGCCCCCAGUCCCUCCAGCUCCAGAGCCUCAUACCUGUUACGUAAGGGCACCUGGGAAGGUGGGACAGGCUGAGGGGCAGUCCACUUGUUGCCCCAAACAGGGACUUGUUUCCAUCCCUUGCUGCAUUUGAGGUCGUCCCCUUCCCACCUGACUGUGAGACAGCAGAUGAUCCCCCACUGCUUGAAGAGCAUCUUCCCCCACACCCUUCCUGUAGGGAUGGCAGAGUGCAACUCCAUCAACCAAUCCCCUUCUCACAAUCCCAGAUGCUCCUUAGCCUUUCUAUUUCCUCCUUUAGCUCUACCACCAGGCUGAGCAGAUCCUCCACCUGCUCACACCGCACACAGGUGGUAUCCCGGCUGCCCUCCUGUACCAGUGACAGGACCAGGCAUUCUCCACAGCCUGAGACCUGAACUGCAGCAUGGACAUUCAUGCUUUCAGUCUGAGUCUCCACGUUCCUUUAGCAACAGCUCACCUCCAUAUGGUGACCAUGGUUGAAACUUGGUGUGUCCAGAGAGCAUUGACCUGUUAAGUGACCUGUUAAGUGCUAAGUGCUAAGCCCCUCCUAUACAGCAAGGUGCCCCGCCCUGCCUGCUCACUGAUUCGCUUGGGGUUUGCCCUGAAAAUCACUCUCAACAAGAUAACAACUCACCUCCCUGUGUAGCCAUGCAAAUAGGUGGCUUACUGUUUCAACCUCAGCCCUCUGGUCAUCUUCUUGGCCCUCCUCUGGACCCACUCCAACAGCUUGAUGUCCUUCUUGUGUUGGGACCCUAGAAAUGGAUGCAGUACUCUAGGUGGGGUCUCAGAAGAGCAGAGUAGAGGGACAGAAUCACCAAUCUCGACCUGUUGGUUGCACUUCUCUUGAUGCAACCCAGGAUACGAUUGGCCUUCUGGGAUGAAAGUGCAAAUUGCUGGCUUUUAUCAGCAGUUUGCCACUAUUCUUUCAGCAAGUGACACCCGCAAAUCCUUCUCAGGGCUGUUCUAAAGCCUUUCUAUCCCCAGCAUAUAUCUGUGCUGGGACUUGCUCCAACCCAGGUGCAGGAUUUUGCACACGGGCACUCAACAUUUAAUAAACAUCUGUUUUCAAGCUUGUAGGAAAAAAAAAAAAAAAAAAAAAAAAAAAAAAAAAAACUGGUACAGAUAAACUCUUAUUAGUACUAUUUAGCAUCUAAUUUAUUUACCUGUGCUGUAAAAGCAUCACAUAAAACAAAAUUGUUUCCUCUAAUUUUCAUCCAGAAACAUUCUGUCAUGAAGAGGGAAAAAAGUAUCCGUAUAGAUCUUACAGCACAAAUGAAUUCUCCUUCCCAUAGACCACUGGCCAUAGGGAGAUCUAGCUACUCACUCUUCGUUUUUAUAAGGUUUCAGAACACAAAACCAUGAAAAACAUAUCCUGCCUGUAUGUCUCUAUGUAUUUUUCUGAUCUUAAAUUGCUUAUCUGGUCAGAUGCACAAAGUACUUAAAAUUGCCUGUUUAAUCUGUUUAUUUAUUUUUCUCUUGUUUCUUAUUAUUUCAGUCUCCCAUAAUUAUUUUCUAUUCUUUUAAUUGCAUGCCAGUCUUCCUGUGUAUGAGGGCUGCUCUGAAAUUAAUGCCUCCUAUUUCAUUAUGUUGGCCCACAGCAUCAGAAGCAGAUGUUGGUGGUUUGACAGUAGAGGUUGAGCCUUCCAACCAAUAUUCCAUUACAUUUGUUGCUGCAUGACAGAUGGCGGCAGAGGGGUAGUCUGACAAGCUGAUAUCUGAUAUGGGCAUGCAUAUGAAGCAAAGGUGUGUCAUUGAAUUCCUCCACGCAGAAAAACUGGCACCCAUAAACAUUCAUUGACAUUUGCUGAACAUUUCUGGAAACCAAGCAGUGGACGUUAGCAUAGUGAGAUGGUGGGUGGUGCAUUUCAGCAGUGGCAACACAGACGUGAAAGGCAAGCCACGUUCUAGAUAGUUAUGUAGAUAUUCAUGAGUGUGGCAUACAGGCUCUGUUCAUCAUGGGUGAAAAUGCAAAGCUGUUGACUAUCUUAAAAAAUAGUAUUUACUAGCUGAGACUUUGUGCUAUCAAAUAAUGCUAUUUUGUCCUUUAUAUAUAUAUAUAUAUAUAUAUAUAUAUUUUUCCCCCAUGGAAAUAAAUAAGCAUUACUUUCAGAACAAUCUACAUAAUUUUAACCCAGUGGAAGACAAACAUAAAGACACAUAUUUUUUUCCUUUUCUUAUAUGUUGAUCAUUGCUGCUUAUUAAAAGCUAGAAAUAACUUACUUCAAUAUUACUCUUCAAGGUUACUAAAAACCAAAACACCACCAUCACACACAAACUCUGUUUUUGUCUUCAUCAUGUAAAAGUUGAUGCACAUGACAUGCAUGAACUUGAGCAAUUACUUCAUAUAGAAACCAUAUUAAUUAACAGAACCCUACAAUUCUGCGGUUUAUGUUUUGAGUUAUUGAUCACAUGAUUUUGCUCACAUGCUCACUAUGAAUUGCCCAGUAUAUCCAGAGAUGCUUUGACUGAUGCUUGCAUAAGUCCUCUGAUAUAUCUCCAGAAGGAUUUCAUAUGUAUCACAGUAAAAGAUUUAAAAAAAAAUAAAAAAAUAAAAAAAUAAAAGUCAAGAAGAUAAUUUUGCUUGCAUUGCUCUGAUUUCAGCUGGCAAAGAGGUUUUUUUUAUUGUUUUGUUUUGUUUGUUUUUCCCCAUAAUGUCUGGUAUAGCACACCGAUGUUUUAGCUGUUCAGUGGUGUUGCACAGAGCCAAAGAUAUUGCAGCUUCUUGACUUGUUCUUCGCUGCCAGUGAGAAAGUCUAAGAGGGUACAAGUAUCUGGGAAGGGACAGAACCAGGACAGCUGACCUAAGAUGGCCAAAGGGCUAUUUCAUACUGUAGAACAUCUAGUGAAAAACUAUAAAACUAAGAGAAGUUAACCAGGGGGAAGGGAGUAGAAGACUGCUGCUGAUCCUGACCAGCUGGGUAUUGGUCAGCA